AAAUCAUUUAAAUCUUGCUGUCCCUUGGUUUCCUCAACCAUUAGCAAGAGACAAAAUGUACCUCCUGUGAGUUGACCUAUACAGGCAUCUGUGAUUGCCUUUUUCCUGUUUUAACAAUGGCUGCGCUAACCGAAGUGGUUAAACUUAGGUUUGAGCAUCUCUCGGGAAGACUGUGAGAUGUUAAAUAGCCCUUCCUGAAACCAUCAGGAAGAAAAAUGUGUGUGACAUUGCAUACAGCUGUAGGUGAUAGUAAAAUAGAAGUCUUCAGUGAGAGAACACCCAAAACACAUGAGAAUUUCUUGGCUUUUUGUGCCAUUAUUUACUACAAUGGCUGUAUAUUUCAUAGAAAUAUCAAGGGUUUCAUGGUUGAAACAGGAGAUCCAACAGCACAAUGUUAGAGGCGAAGUAUCUAUGGCUAAUAAUGGCCCAAACACCAAUGGAUCUCAGUUCUUCAUCACCUAUGGCAAACAGCCACAUUUGGACAUGAAAUACACAGUAUUUGGAAAGGUAAUAGAUGGUCUGGAAACUCUAGAUGAAUUGGAGAAGUUGCCAGUAAAUGAGAAGACAUACCGACCUCUUAAUGAUGUGCACAUUAAGGACAUAACCAUUCAUGCCAAUCCAUUUGCUCAAUAGCUAUAAUAGACCUAGACAAAUGCUUGGCAAACUAUUUGCUGGAAUGGAACAUACCUAUUGUGGUUUACCCAGUUUUAAUUAUGUCCAAGAUUGCAUCAUCCUUCUGCUUAUUUACAGCCAAGCUCUUCUAUGAAAUGGUGGUAUCAAGAAGAGCCCAACAGCUUUUACCCCCAUUCUGAGAGCAUGUUCUUUACACCAACUAUUAUCCAAUGUAUUUUUAAAAUUUUAUUAUAAAAAAAA
Microcebus murinus (gray mouse lemur) is the source of this 873-nucleotide non-coding RNA. NCBI's taxonomy places the organism in Eukaryota, Metazoa, Chordata, Mammalia, Primates, Cheirogaleidae. The record is from RefSeq and is a predicted model, not a curated record.